RNAcentral lists this ribosomal RNA (735 nucleotides) under uncultured bacterium. RNAcentral's name for it is "bacterial SSU rRNA". It matches the Rfam family "Bacterial small subunit ribosomal RNA", at positions 771 to 1501 of the family's 1533-position model. The record is from RNAcentral.
AACAGGAUUAGAUACCCUGGUAGUCCACGCCGUAAACGUUGGGCGCUAGGUGUGGGGGCCAUUCCACGGUCUCCGUGCCGCAGCUAACGCAUUAAGCGCCCCGCCUGGGGAGUACGGCCGCAAGGCUAAAGCUCAAAGGAAUUGACGGGGGCCCGCACAAGCGGCGGAGCAUGUUGCUUAAUUCGAUGCAACGCGAAGAACCUUACCUAGGCUUGACAUGCACGGAAAUCUGUCAGAGAUGGCAGGUCCUUUUAGGGUCGUGCACAGGUGGUGCAUGGUUGUCGUCAGCUCGUGUCGUGAGAUGUUGGGUUAAGUCCCGCAACGAGCGCAACCCUCGUUCUAUGUUGCCAGCACGUGAUGGUGGGGACUCAUAGGAGACUGCCGGGGUCAACUCGGAGGAAGGUGGGGAUGACGUCAAAUCAUCAUGCCCCUUAUGUCUAGGGCUGCAAACAUGCUACAAUGGCCGGUACAAAGGGCUGCGAUACCGUGAGGUGGAGCGAAUCCCAAAAAGCCGGUCUCAGUUCGGAUUGGGGUCUGCAACUCGACCCCAUGAAGUUGGAGUCGCUAGUAAUCGCAGAUCAGCAACGCUGCGGUGAAUACGUUCCCGGGCCUUGUACACACCGCCCGUCACGUCACGAAAGUCGGUAACGCCCGAAGCCGGUGGCCCAACCCCUGGUGGGAGGGAGCCGUCGAAGGCGGGAUCGGCGAUUGGGACGAAGUCGUAACAAGGUAACC